Molecule: non-coding RNA, 1988 nt
Organism: Triticum urartu
Lineage: Eukaryota; Viridiplantae; Streptophyta; Magnoliopsida; Poales; Poaceae
Source: RefSeq, a predicted model, not a curated record
CAUGAGUUUACUUCUCCAUUCUUACUUUGACCGCUCUGACUUGUUCUCAGCUCCAAUACAAUUACAAACGGGUUGAAAAUAAACGAAAGAGAAAGAAAGAGGGAGCCCUGGAAGAAAGCAGCGUGGAAAGCUUUUGGAAAGUGACAAAGGGAUAGCAGCACUAGAGAAGAGCAGCAGGAGUAUCAGUGAGGUUGUUGUGAGGUGAGGUGAUGCACUGACAGACAGACAGACAGACAGAUGCAUAUACCUAUUCCCCUUCCUCUCCUCUUCCCCCUUGCCUUGCGUUUCCUCUCUUCUCUUCCAAUUUAAAUCCCACGAGAAGCAAGGAGAAAGAAAGAAAGAAGAGGAGGUGACUGAGUGUGUUUCUUUCUCCAUUGCGCUUCCCUUCUCCUUCCCUUGGCUUGGCCUCCAAUGUUUUCUUACAUCCCCCUCCACUCCAUCUCUUGCUUCCCAAACCUGGCUUAACCUCUCCUCCUUCACUUGCCUUGGCCAUUAACCACGCCCCAAAUCCAACCUUCAAAGCUUUCCUCCUCCCCCUGCUGCCGUCUUGGUGAUAACUAACCUCCGCAAGUCAGACCACUGAAACCUCGAAGCCAUCUUCAUUCAGUUGAUCUCUUCUUGAUUUCUCCCUGCUCUGCUCUGCUCUUCUCUUCUCUAGGGCCCAUGGGUGAACACCUCGCGCUGCUGGUGGACCGGCUGCUCACGGAGUCCACGCUGGAGGCGGCCAUCGUGAGCAGGAAGCAGCCGGCCGCGGACGACACGCCGGCGGCGAUCGUCUACUGCUGUGACAUCGCCGCCGCUGGCGGCGACCCGAGCAAGAUGGUGGAGUGCAGGAUCUGCCAGGAGGAGGACUGGGACACCGGCAUGGAGGCCCCCUGCGCCUGCCGCGGCAGCCUCAAGUAUGCCCAUCGAAAAUGCAUCCAGCGUUGGUGCAAUGAGAAGGGUGACACCGUCUGCGAAAUAUGCUUGCAGCAAUUCAGGCCAGGCUACACUGCCCCACAGCAGCUGUUCCACUACGGAAGCAUACCAAUGAACUUCAGGGGGAACUGGCAGGUCGCGCGGCACGAUCUCCACGACUCUCAGGUCAUAACAAUGGUGCCCUCGGAGCGCGAUUUCAUGGACGAGUACGACGACUACUUUCCAGUCAGGACGAGGAGCAGCGCCCUGUGUUGCCGGACAGUCGCCAUCAUUUUCCUGGCCCUCCUGGUUCUCCGGCACACGCUUCCUCUCAUGGUCGGCGGCGACGGGGAGUACUCGUUUGCUCUGUUUUUGCCUCUGAUCUUGAAUUUUACCAUUUUAUGGGGACGAAAAAAAAACAGCUUCUUGUGCUGAGGACAGCUGGGAUUCUGUUCCCAAUAUUGGUGAUGGUGAGAGCAAUGGCAACCUUCCAUCGUCGUCGUCGCCAACAGAGUUCUGCGUAUACUCUUUUCUGAUGCGUAACUCUGGGGUCUAGAUCACUUGAUACUGCAGGGAAACCAGGGAACUUACAUGUUCUUCUCGGACACCGAGGACGAGGACGAUGACGAAGAGGAAGAAGAGGAUGCCGACGCCGAUCCUGGGCUGCCUCACUACCAACCACGCCUUAUCCCCGUCUACUGACACCAUACAAAUCGGUGCGGCGUCGGUGUGGUUAACAGAAGCAAAAAUCCCAAGAAACAGGGAAAAAGAUACUGAUGUGGUAGGAUAGUCUGAAGCCACUCGCUUCUGUGUGCACAAGAAAUAGGAGAUUGUAGUGGCUCUGUACAUACCACAAGACUGACCCAGACGAUGUAACUUGUGAGCUUCUCUAGCUCUCCCAUGUACUCGAGAGAUUGCCUAAAAUUACUUGCAAAAUGCAUGGAAUUACAGGCCUGUAUCUGAACCUGUGAUCCUGCAACUCAUGCUUGAUCUACAGUUCUUUGAUUUGUCUUACUGACAUGUGCAUGGACUAUUGAUCAGUUUUCUGAGCAUACAAAUUUCUGUACAUCUGUUUGCAACAUUUGCUUGAU